UUUAAAUAGCUGCAGUAUUUUAACUGUACAAAGGUAGCAUAUUAAUUACUCUUUUAAUUGAGGUCUUGAAUGAAUGGUUUAACAAGAAAAGCACUUUAUUAUAUUAAUUAAAUUAAUUUAAUUUUUUAGUUAAAAAGCUAAAAUUUUUAAAUGGGACGAUAAGACCCUAUAGAUCUUUAAAUUUUUUAAAAUAAAUACAUUUCGGUUUAUUUAAUUUUCGUUUAAUAAAAAUUUUUUGUUGGGGUGACAUACAAAAUUUUUAAACUUUGUAAAAUAUCUACAUUAAUCAAUGAUUUUUUUUGAACCUAAAAUUUAGGUUAUUAAAAUAAGAUACCUUAGGGAUAACAGCGUAAUAAGUUUGUAUAGUUCAUAUAGAUAAACUUGUUUGCGACCUCGAUGUUGAAUUAAUUUUUAAUUUUGGAGCAAAAAAUAAAAAUUUUAGGUCUGUUCGACCUUUAAAAAAUUACA
RNAcentral lists this ribosomal RNA (468 nucleotides) under Sogatella furcifera (white-backed planthopper). RNAcentral describes it as "partial 16S ribosomal RNA". The stretch from base 341 to 468 matches the Rfam family "Archaeal large subunit ribosomal RNA", at positions 2542 to 2669 of the family's 2987-position model. Lineage: Eukaryota; Metazoa; Arthropoda; Insecta; Hemiptera; Delphacidae. The record is from RNAcentral.